This 283-nucleotide unclassified non-coding RNA is filed under the name fungal sp. RNAcentral describes it as "partial internal transcribed spacer region". The stretch from base 1 to 46 matches the Rfam family "Eukaryotic small subunit ribosomal RNA", at positions 1786 to 1831 of the family's 1831-position model. Lineage: Eukaryota; Fungi. The record is from RNAcentral.
AAGUCGUAACAAGGUUUCCGUAGGUGAACCUGCGGAAGGAUCAUUAAUGAAUGCAUAAGUCGGUCGAUUGUGCUGGUGCAACCACACAUGUGCACGUCGAUCGGCAAAUCAUCCACACACCUUGUGCACCCUAAGACCACAGAGCGGUUCGUUGGGAUUUCGGUUUCGACUUGAGCAGCCCUGCUGGUACUUUUUCACAAACUCGUAUGUGAUUGGGAUGUCAUAGUGCUUUUAAGCACGAUAAAACUAACAACAACUUUCAACAACGGAUCUCUUGGCUCUC